Molecule: ribosomal RNA, 253 nt
Filed under: uncultured bacterium
Lineage: Bacteria
Description: partial 16S ribosomal RNA
Rfam family: Bacterial small subunit ribosomal RNA
Source: RNAcentral
UACGGGGGGGGCAAGCGUUGUUCGGAAUUACUGGGCGGAAAGGGCUCGUAGGCGGCCAACUAAGCCAGACGUGAAAUCCCCAGGCUUAACCUGGGAACUGCGUCUGAUACUGGAUGGCUUGAAUCCGGGAGAGGGAUGCAGAAUUCCAGGUGUAGCGGUGAAAUGCGUAGAUAUCUGGAGGAAUACCGGUGGCGAAGGCGGCAUCCUGGACCGGCAUUGACGCUGAGGAGCGAAAGCCAGGGGAGCAAACGGG